This 567-nucleotide ribosomal RNA is filed under the name Triticum aestivum (bread wheat). RNAcentral's name for it is "partial small subunit ribosomal RNA". The record is from RNAcentral. Lineage: Eukaryota; Viridiplantae; Streptophyta; Magnoliopsida; Poales; Poaceae.
AUGGAACGAAUGGCGACAUCUUAUUUCAAGGAAGUUUACACCAAGGAUCCAACCUUAACUCCGGACAGUGUGCUUGAAGGAGUUCUGCCGAAAGUGUCUGAAGCUAUGAACAACAGGUUGUGCGUCCCUUUUUCUGAGGAGGAGGUGUCGAAUGCUCUUUUUCAAAUAGGUCCGUUGAAGGCGCCCGGAACGGAUGGAUUUCCAGCAAGGUUUUUCCAGCGUAACUGGUCAGAGUUAAAACCUCAAAUUAUUGCAGCGGUGUUAGACUUUUUUGUCUCUGGUAUUUUGCCUGAAGGUGUUAAUGACACGGCAAUCGUCCUUAUUCCGAAAGUUUCUCACCCCAAAGAGCUCAAGGACUUUAGGCCGAUCAGUCUUUGCAAUGUUAUUUAUAAAAUUGUGUCUAAAUGCAUGGUUAAUCGGCUUAGGCCGCUGCUCUCAGAGUUGAUAUCGGAGAACCAAAGUGCUUUUAUCCCGGGCCGGCUUAUCUCGGAUAAUUCUAUUAUUGCCUUUGAGUGCAUUCAUCACAUACAAAAUCUAAAAGGAAACAAUAUUGCUGCGUGUGCGUAA